UAAUCUCAAUACAAUCAUCUCUGGUUGUAUGUGGAUCUGGAUGCUGCCGUGUGCUACAAACGGCUCGUCUGAAAUGCCUGAGUGUACCCUGUUUUGCAGCGUAUUCGGUGUGAUACAUCUUCACCGGAGUUUGACCUUUCGGGGUCACGUCUGCUCACUUAUGGCUCUAUGCUUCAAACUGUCUUGACCAGACAAUGCCUGACA
This 204-nucleotide unclassified non-coding RNA is filed under the name uncultured Sebacinales. RNAcentral describes it as "sequence contains ITS2". The record is from RNAcentral. Lineage: Eukaryota; Fungi; Basidiomycota; Agaricomycetes; Sebacinales.